This 253-nucleotide unclassified non-coding RNA is filed under the name fungal sp. Its description in RNAcentral is "partial internal transcribed spacer region". The stretch from base 1 to 46 matches the Rfam family "Eukaryotic small subunit ribosomal RNA", at positions 1786 to 1831 of the family's 1831-position model. The record is from RNAcentral. Lineage: Eukaryota; Fungi.
AAGUCGUAACAAGGUCUCCGUUGGUGAACCAGCGGAGGGAUCAUUAUCGAGUGUUCAACUCCCAAACCCUUUGUGAACCUAUUCCCAAUAUCGUUGCCUCGGCGGGUUAGAACGGCCUCGAGAGGCGGCCCCGCCGGAGGACCCAAACUCUGUUUUUUUUUUUCUCCCCCUGCUUUGCGGCAGAUUUUGUCUGAGUGGAUUGUACCAAAUUUAAAAUAAAUCAAAACUUUCAACAACGGAUCUCUUGGUUCUG